This 441-nucleotide ribosomal RNA is filed under the name uncultured bacterium. RNAcentral's name for it is "partial 16S ribosomal RNA". It matches the Rfam family "Bacterial small subunit ribosomal RNA", at positions 338 to 795 of the family's 1533-position model. The record is from RNAcentral.
CCUACGGGGGGCAGCAGUGGGGGAUAUUGCACAAUGGGGGGAACCCUGAUGCAGCGACGCCGCGUGGGUGAAGGAGCGUUUCGGCGCGUAAAGCCCUAUCGGCAGGGAAGAAGAAGGACGGUACCUGAGUAAGAAGCCCCGGCUAACUACGUGCCAGCAGCCGCGGUAAUACGGAGGGGGCAAGCGUUAUCCGGAUUUACUGGGUGUAAAGGGAGCGUAGACGGCAGUGCAAGUCUGGAGUGAAAGGCGGGGGCUCAACCCCCGGACUGCUCUGGAAACUGUACGGCGGGAGUGCAGGAGAGGUAAGUGGAAUUCGUAGUGUAGCGGUGAAAUGCGUAGAUAUGAGGAGGAACACCAGUGGCGAAGGCGGCUUACUGGACUGUAACUGACGUUGAGGCUCGAAAGCGUGGGGAGCAAACAGGAUUAGAUACCCGAGUAGUC